RNAcentral lists this ribosomal RNA (388 nucleotides) under uncultured bacterium. Its description in RNAcentral is "bacterial SSU rRNA". It matches the Rfam family "Bacterial small subunit ribosomal RNA", at positions 28 to 417 of the family's 1533-position model. The record is from RNAcentral.
GACGAACGCUGGCGGCGUGCUUAACACAUGCAAGUCGAGCGGUAAGGCCCUUUCGGGGGUACACGAGCGGCGAACGGGUGAGUAACACGUGGGUGACCUGCCCUCAGCUCUGGGAUAAGCCCGGGAAACUGGGUCUAAUACCGGAUAUGGCUUCAUGACGCAUGUUGUGGAGUGGAAAGCCUUGUGCGGCUGAGGAUGGGCCCGCGGCCUAUCAGCUUGUUGGUGGGGUGANGGCCUACCAAGGCGACGACGGGUAGCCGGCCUGAGAGGGCGACCGGCCACACUGGGACUGAGAUACGGCCCAGACUCCUACGGGAGGCAGCAGUGGGGAAUCUUGCGCAAUGGGCGAAAGCCUGACGCAGCGACGCCGCGUGAGGGAUGACGGCCU